UUGUGGCCCCCCAUCUGCGCGCGGUCCGUCCCCUAAAAGGUUCCCCCGAGAAACAUCGACCCCGAACCGCUCGUUCCGGGCAGCCAUGGCGGAGUUGGUGGCGCUUCCCAAAGCAGAGGAGGAAGCCACUGAAAGGGAGGAAGGAGGGGUGACUCCGGCGGAGACCGAGGCCUGGAUGGACCGAGCCCUAGCCAUGGCCAAAGAAGCCUUAGAGAAUGGUGAAGUACCUGUUGGUUGCCUCAUGGUCUUCAAUAAUGAAGUCAUAGGGAAGGGAAAGAAUGAAGUGAAUGAAACUAAAAACGCUACUCGCCAUGCUGAAAUGGUGGCAAUUGAUCAGGCCAGAGAUUGGUGUCAUCAGCAUAAGAAGGAGCUAGAGGAAGUGUUUUUGCACACAGUGUUGUAUGUCACUGUAGAGCCCUGUAUAAUGUGUGCAGCUGCUCUUCGCCUGAUGAAAAUUCCACUGGUUGUGUAUGGUUGCCAAAAUGAACGAUUUGGAGGCUGUGGUUCAGUUUUGGACAUCUCUUCUGCUACCUUAACGGACAUGGGGGAACCAUUUCAGUGCAAAGUUGGUUAUCGAUCUGAAGAAGCAGUGGAAAUGUUGAAAACUUUCUACAGGCAGGAAAAUCCAAAUGCACCCAAAUCAAAAGUUCGAAAAAAGACUGCACUAAGUGAUGAAGUAAGUGAAGUGCAGUAAACUGAAGCUGGACAAGUAAGGAACUGUUCAAACCCCUGGGCAGUAAACUGACCUAUCCCUGAAGGCCACUUAGAGGUGGAGCAAGGUGUUUCUCUUCCUCUCUAUGUUAUCAUAAUCUUCCAGAAGAGGGCCUUGCUGUUCCAAUAAUGAGAGACUCCAGCAGAUUAACACUGAACUCAUUCCUCCUGGUUCUGCAUGCUGAGCAAGUAAACAGGCUAGGAAGUCAUCAAGCUAUGACUUGUGGAUUUCUGUAUUGUGGACGUGUUAUUUCAGUAGUUUGGUGAGACAUGUGCAAACCAGAUUUGGUUUACUAUUUAAUUCCUCUACUAUGUAGAUCUAUGCAUAUUUAAAAAUGAUAAUAUCUUAUUGAUGGUAACACAAUAAAAAUAAUAUUUUUAU
Molecule: RNA transcript, 1093 nt
Organism: Sceloporus undulatus (fence lizard)
Lineage: Eukaryota; Metazoa; Chordata; Lepidosauria; Squamata; Phrynosomatidae
Gene: ADAT2
Gene name: adenosine deaminase tRNA specific 2
Exons: 7
Source: RefSeq, a predicted model, not a curated record